GAAUGCUGACAUAAGUAACGAUAAAGCGGGUGAAAAGCCCGCUCGCCGGAAGACCAAGGGUUCCUGUCCAACGUUAAUCGGGGCAGGGUGAGUCGACCCCUAAGGCGAGGCCGAAAGGCGUAGUCGAUGGGAAACGGGUUAAUAUUCCCGUACUUGGUGUUACUGCGAAGGGGGGACGGAGAAGGCUAUGUUGGCCGGGCGACGGUUGUCCCGGUUUAAGCGUGUAGGUGUGUGUUCCAGGUAAAUCCGGUUCACUUUAACACUGAGGCGUGACGACGAGGCACUACGGUGCUGAAGCAACAAAUGCCCUGCUUCCAGGAAAAGCCUCUAAGCAUCAGGUAACAUCAAAUCGUACCCCAAACCGACACAGGUGGUCAGGUAGAGAAUACCAAGGCGCUUGAGAGAACUCGGGUGAAGGAACUAGGCAAAAUGGUGCCGUAACUUCGGGAGAAGGCACGCUGAC
Molecule: ribosomal RNA, 463 nt
Filed under: Salmonella enterica
Lineage: Bacteria; Pseudomonadati; Pseudomonadota; Gammaproteobacteria; Enterobacterales; Enterobacteriaceae
Description: partial 23S ribosomal RNA
Rfam family: Bacterial large subunit ribosomal RNA
Source: RNAcentral